AAAGAAAUGUGCUGUGGUCAUCCUUUGUUGUCCUGCAUUUCAUAAAUAUGUUUGUUCUUGUUUCAUUUUUUGUCCCUCAUGUUAUGUAGAUAAGCUUGUUGAUUAAUUUAUCUUGAAUUGCAAAAUCUGUGUAUUAAAUGUGGGACAGAUCUUAUUUUCUUGCAAAUUGGAUGUCAAAUCAUGUGAAGAAUCUUGUAUAGGUCUGCAUGUGUUUUCU
Molecule: long non-coding RNA, 217 nt
Filed under: Glycine max (soybean)
Lineage: Eukaryota; Viridiplantae; Streptophyta; Magnoliopsida; Fabales; Fabaceae
Description: long non-coding RNA (GMAX_LNC000669)
Source: RNAcentral